GCAAAUAGUUCCAGUAGUUAGCUACAUUCAGCUUUUAUCGUACACGUGUUGACAGACAAAAAUGGACAGCUAGCUACAGGAUUUUGUUGAAUUUACACUGCAUUUAGCUAGUUGGAUACAUUUCAUUGAUAUCAUGGCUGCUAAUAACACAUUCGUUGACUGCUCACGUUUUGUGUCAGUCUCUGACAACGCUUAGCAACAAAUGAGUACAGUGACGUUAGCAGUUAGCUAGCUAUCAACAGCAAAUUCAUAGGAUCAUCCAUGGCACAAAUGUUGUUUAUCCUCAUUCGAUGUUGAGCAGCUCUGACUUGUAGUAGUUAGCUUGUUAACAAGGUAACGUUAGCUUGCCAUGUAAUUUGUAAACAUUGCCACUAAAAGCUUUGUUUUACCUUGUCACACGUUAUCCACGGACCAUAUGGUGAGCGCUUUCUUAGUCCAUACGACGACUGAUCAUUUCGAAAACAUACGAGAGAACCCUAGUCACGUAUAAAGUAUUGCUAGUUAGAGAGCUAUUAAAAACACGACAAGGUGUGUACAUUGGCUGCUUCCUACUUCCUGCAUUGGGUAACCAUUGGCAACGCGACUACCUCGCUUUACGGCGUUUGAAGAACACGCCCAGAAAUCGCUGAAAAAUAUUCUAACAAGUGUCCAGCUGUAAGGUCCAGUCAAAGUUAUAUGUAAAAAAAUCUUCUAUUAGUCACCGAACAUUAGAUUUGUUUUAAUCUUAGCAAGACAAUUGUGCUUGGUAUGCACUGUAGCUAUAUGUUUCAGUGAGAGUGUUAAACGUUUGAUAGCUAGCUAGCGAGAGAGACCACUCACAAUCCGUCUUGAUCUGCACUGCCAGCAUUUGAAGAGCUAGCUUGGGAGGAUGACCAAAAAACAAAAGCAAACCACAAGUUUCACACCUCCCCAGCCUAGGUCACUCAGGUCAAGGAAGAGAAAGUGCAGUGAUGAGUCAGAGGAGAGCGCCCCU
Oncorhynchus tshawytscha (Chinook salmon) is the source of this 973-nucleotide long non-coding RNA. RefSeq lists it as uncharacterized. Lineage: Eukaryota; Metazoa; Chordata; Actinopteri; Salmoniformes; Salmonidae. The transcript is spliced from 3 exons. The record is from RefSeq and is a predicted model, not a curated record.